GCGAACAUACCGCUAUUGAAGAAAAGAAAAUAUACCGGUUCUCGUUAGAUCACCGAAGUUAAGCAUCAUUGGGCGCGGUCAGUACUUGGGUGGGUGACCACCUGGGAACACUGCGUGCCGUUG
Non-coding RNA from Caerostris darwini, 123 nucleotides. The record is from the annotation of a GenBank genome assembly. Lineage: Eukaryota; Metazoa; Arthropoda; Arachnida; Araneae; Araneidae.